UACAGGGGGUGCGAGCGUUGUUCGGAAUUACUGGGCGUAAAGGGCGCGUAGGCGGCUUGGCAAGUCAGAUGUGAAAGCCCGGGGCUUAACCCCGGAAGUGCAUUUGAAACUGCCCGGCUAGAGUAUAGUAGAGGUUGGCGGAAUACCCAGUGUAGAGGUGAAAUUCGUAGAUAUUGGGUGGAACACCGGUGGCGAAGGCGGCCUUCUGGACAGUGACUGACGCUGAGACGCGAAAGCGUGGGGAGCAAACAGG
Molecule: ribosomal RNA, 253 nt
Filed under: uncultured bacterium
Lineage: Bacteria
Description: partial 16S ribosomal RNA
Rfam family: Bacterial small subunit ribosomal RNA
Source: RNAcentral